RNAcentral lists this long non-coding RNA (820 nucleotides) under Homo sapiens (human). RNAcentral's name for it is "non-protein coding lnc-TESK2-2:1". Lineage: Eukaryota; Metazoa; Chordata; Mammalia; Primates; Hominidae. The record is from RNAcentral.
CUCGUGGCUAGUUCAGGCGGAAGGAGCAGUCCUCUGAAGCUUGAGGAGCCUCUAGAACUAUGAGCCCGAGGCCUUCCCCUCUCCCAGAGCGCAGAGGCUUUGAAGGCUACCUCUGGGAAGCCGCUCACCGUCGGAAGCUGCGGGAGCUGAAACUGCGCCAUCGUCACUGUCGGCGGCCAUGACACCGCUCGUCUCCCGCCUGAGUCGUCUGUGGGCCAUCAUGAGGAAGCCACGAGCAGCCGUGGGAAGUGGUCACAGGAAGCAGGCAGCCAGCCAGGAAGGGAGGCAGAAGCAUGCUAAGAACAACAGUCAGGCCAAGCCUUCUGCCUGUGAUGGCAGAAGAUGAGAUGGACCUGGACAGGCGGGCAUAUGCUGGUCAGUACAUCUCCUGAGAGCAGGGCCACUUUGCCUCGAGGCCCUUGGGUCUGGGGGCUGUGGGCCAGGUAGGGGCAGGUCAGCAGUGUCCUCAUGCCAACCCCUUUCCCCCAGUGUGGGUCUCAGAGGUCAUGCUGCAGCAGACCCAGGUUGCCACUGUGAUCAACUACUAUACCGGAUGGAUGCAGGUGACUCCAGGGGAGGAAGGGAAGGGUCAUGGGUCAGACCCCAGAUGAGAGCCUCUACUUUGGGGUGGGUGUAGAGAAGGCUUCCUCUACCACCUUCACCCUUGACCUUGUCUCUUUCUGCCUGCCUGUGGCUAUAGAAGUGGCCUACACUGCAGGACCUGGCCAGUGCUUCCCUGGAGGUGAGAGCCACCCUAGGGUAGGGGAAAUAGGAACAAUAGAGGGACUGACGGGUGAUCUCUUUGACCUCUGAUCCUACC